This 253-nucleotide ribosomal RNA is filed under the name uncultured bacterium. Its description in RNAcentral is "partial 16S ribosomal RNA". It matches the Rfam family "Bacterial small subunit ribosomal RNA", at positions 524 to 776 of the family's 1533-position model. The record is from RNAcentral.
UACGGAGGGGGCUAGCGUUGUUCGGAAUUACUGGGCGUAAAGCGCACGUAGGCGGCGAUCUAAGUCAGAGGUGAAAGCCCGGGGCUCAACCCCGGGUCUGCAUUCGAUACGGGUCUGCUAGGGUCCGGCAGGGGAGACUGGAAUUCCUGGUGUAGCGGUGAAAUGCGCAGAUAUCAGGAGGAACACCGGUGGCGAAGGCGGGUCUCUGGGCCGAUAUUGACGCUGAGGAGCGAAAGCGUGGGGAGCAAACAGG